GUAGCAAGCGCACGCGAAAAGCCGCUGCAGCGGCCAGCAGCGCUGACGAGGACUUCGACGAGGAGGACGUCAUCAAGGAGGUGCACCGCGACGAGGAGUACGUGUAUCCAUCAUUGGAGAUGAGCUCGGACGAAGACGAGGAGUGGACGACGACGCGGCGGAGACGCAACUCCAGGAACAGGGGAGACAGCAAAUCCAAAAACGAAAAGGACGAGUGCUGGUCGCCGCGCGCGCGCGUGGGCCGCGUGACGCCGCGCAGCCGCG
Long non-coding RNA from Ostrinia nubilalis (European corn borer), 264 nucleotides. RefSeq lists it as uncharacterized. The record is from RefSeq and is a predicted model, not a curated record. NCBI's taxonomy places the organism in Eukaryota, Metazoa, Arthropoda, Insecta, Lepidoptera, Crambidae. The transcript is spliced from 3 exons.